UCCCUGAUGGUCCAGUGGUUAGGACUUUGCAUUUCCACUGCUGGGCCCCAGGGUUCGAUCCCUGGUCAGGGAA
Molecule: non-coding RNA, 73 nt
Organism: Lipotes vexillifer (Yangtze River dolphin)
Lineage: Eukaryota; Metazoa; Chordata; Mammalia; Artiodactyla; Lipotidae
Source: the annotation of a RefSeq genome assembly